UUCAAGCAUACCCUUCUCAAACUGUGGUGAGAUAUUCACAAUUUCCGAUGAACAAAUAAGGUUUUAUAUGUAAGAUGGUUAAAUAAAGAGCACAAUUAUUGAUUAUUAUUAUAUUAUUAUUUGUGCCCUGGUCCUAUAAGAGCUCUUUCUCACUUCCCACGAGCCAGGUUGUGACAAAACUCACACUCAUUCUUAUGUUUAAUAAAUGUAUCAUAUAGUGUGUGUGGCAGGCUUACAAUGAUGGCAAAAAACAACAUUUGAGAGUGCGCUGUCCCUGGUGCGAGAGGGUGUACACAGCUGGAGGUUGAAUGUUUGAAGGGGUACAGGACUAUAAAAAGUUUGGGAACCACUGAUGUAGACUGUUUAACUGACCUAGCAUCUGUGUGGAUCUAAUUGAUGUAGACUGUUUGACCUAGCAUCUCUCUGUGUCUCUCAGAUAACGCUGAGUGGGUUUUGAAGCCGUAUGGUUUUAAUAUGGAGAUUGAGGGCUUCAGAUACUGCUAAUCGGGUAUGUACACACACCUCUGUGAUAUCAUAGCACACCUGUUCACCUCACACCUGGUAGUAUAUGAGUUUGGAUUGUGUGUGUGUGUAGGAUGCCAUGCGGCUGGUGACUAAGCAGGCAGUGAGGGAGGCCAGACUGAAAGAAAUCAAGCAAGUGCUGCUCAACUCAGAGAAACUCAAGUCGCUCCGACGCUGAGGGGAGGGCCAACCCAAUGUCAGGCAGGAGGAGAGAGAAGCCCAAACCUGACGGGGUCGCCAAGACAACCAUCAAGAAGGACUUCUGAGGCAAGAACCACUUGAAGAGUUUUUGCUACACCGGAGUGAGGAGCCGAGGGGGCAAGACUAGCAAAUCCUACGCUUCCAUUUCAACGUCCACCAAUUACAAUUCACCUAUGACAUCACCAGUUUCCAGAUCAGUGCAGAUGGAGGGGAAACAAACUGAGGAAGCUACUGUAGACUGAGAUGCAGCCGAAGUGUCCACUAUCAGGCCGCAAAUGGAAGAAAACGGACUGAAACAAGAGGGGACUAUCUGAACUUAUCCAAUAAGAAACACUUGUUUUUGUAUUCUGUUGGAAAACAUUUUGCUACGUUUUGAAACAGUGCACACUAAUGAAUACAACCCAGAUGAGGAACCUACCAGCAGCACCAUUACUCUUAAACUGAGCCAACAUCGGAGUUUGCCUGGUUAGAAAACCUGGCAAAUUAAUAUAACGUGCAUUCCCUCCUAAACACGAGAGGUAUCACAGUAAUGUUAUGACUGCAUUACUCUGCACUUCCACUGACGCGAAUUAACUUCCUUCUCUUUACUAGUGUUUAAUGAAAUCCGAAUUGAAGAAUUAAAAUGAUUGUUUUUCAAUAAGUAAUUUUCUAUUAUUGAAUUGUCAAUAAUAGAAAUGGAAUUGACCCCAAUUCUGGUAUUUACUAUACACAUGCUGUGUAUGUGUGGUCAUUUCAGAUGGCUACACGUGGGUAUUGCAUUUAUUGUUUCUUUGUAAUAAGAAUUCAGAAAACAUUUAUUACAUGUUUUUUUUUUGCUCCUUAAGCUGUUUACCAAAAAUCAUGUCAGUCCCAGAGGUCUCCGUUUACCAUAAAUCAUGUCAUGUCAGUCCCAGAGGUCUCUGUUUACCAUAAAUCAUGUCAUGUCAGUCCCAGAGGUCUCUGUUUACCAUAAAUCAUGUCAUGUCAGUCCCAGAGGUCUCUGUUUACCAUAAAUCAGUCCCAGAGGUCUCUGUUUACCAUAAAUCAGUCCCAGAGGUCUCCGUUUACCAUAAAUCAGUCCCAGAGGUCUCCGUUUACCAUAAAUCAGUCCCAGAGGUCUCCGUUUACCAUAAAUCAGUCCCAGAGGUCUCCGUUUACCAUAAAUCAGUCCCAGAGGUCUCUGUUUACCAUAAAUCAGUCCCAGAGGUCUCCGUUUACCAUAAAUCAUGUCAUGUCAGUUACACAGGUCUCUGUUUACCAUAAAUCAUGUCAUGUCAGUCCCAGAGGUCUCUAUUUACUAUUAAUCAUGUCAUGUCAGUCCCAGAGGUCUCUGUUUACCAUAAAUCAUGUCAUGUCAGUCCCAGAGGUCUCUGUUUACCAUAAAUCA
Non-coding RNA from Salmo salar (Atlantic salmon), 2089 nucleotides. Lineage: Eukaryota; Metazoa; Chordata; Actinopteri; Salmoniformes; Salmonidae. The record is from RefSeq and is a predicted model, not a curated record.